RNAcentral lists this ribosomal RNA (441 nucleotides) under uncultured bacterium. Its description in RNAcentral is "bacterial SSU rRNA". It matches the Rfam family "Bacterial small subunit ribosomal RNA", at positions 27 to 507 of the family's 1533-position model. The record is from RNAcentral.
GGAUGAAUGCUGGCGGUAUGCCUAACACAUGCAAGUCGUACGAGUAGUUUUAACUCUAGUGGCGGACGGGUGAGUAACACGUGAGAAUUUGCCUUUAGGAGGGGGAUAACAAUUGGAAACGAAUGCUAACACCCCAUAUGCUUUUGAGUGAAAUGGAUUUUAUCCGCCUAGAGAGAAGCUCGCGGCUGAUUAGCUUGUUGGUAAGGUAAGAGCUUACCAAGGCGACGAUCAGUAUCUGGUUUGAGAGGAUGAUCAGACACACUGGAACUGAGACACGGUCCAGACUCCUACGGGAGGCAGCAGUGGGGAAUUUUCCGCAAUGGGCGAAAGCCUGACGGAGCAAUCUCGCGUGGGGGAUGACGGCCUAUGGGUUGUAAACCUCUUUUUCAGGGAGGAACAAAAUGACGUGUACCUGAAGAAUAAGCAUCGGCUAACUCCGUG